ACGCGGGCGGCUCAGGGCCCGCCCGGCCGGGACGCGGCUGCGGGGCGGGGCGGGGCGGGAGCCUGGCGGGAAGCUCGCGGGGCUGCAGCCCGGCGGAGGCCCCGGGCCUGGUGUUCCGCACGUUCUAAACCGCCUGUCCCCGAGGAAGUCGGGCAGGGUCGGGCCGGACUCAGCGCCGCUGGCGGGAGCGCCGUCCGCCCCGAGGACCCUGCGGGCCCGGAAGCCGAGACAGGGCCGCCCACGUCAGCGCCUGGCGCGGGCCCGAACGUAAAUGGCGCUCCUCCGCGCCGCAGCCGCAGCCGCCCCGCUCCCUUCCCGCUCCGCCAGCUGCCGCCCUCCCGCGCUCGCUUCUCGCCCCGCGGCCUGGCCCGUGCGCCUCCGAGGCUGGCCAGGGGCACCGAGGCCGCGGGCCCCCCAUCGCCCCCACCCGAGCCCUGAUUUACCGUCCGAGAGCCGGCGGCACAUGGGACCCCGAGAGGAGAAGCGCGCCUGCCCCAAAACCACGGCAUGGAGACGGAAUGAUGCAGACUCCUAUCCGCGAGAUACCUGCUGUAAUUUCGCUGUGGUUCGUGAGGACGCGUCCUGGGCUGCCCUGAGAAGCCUACGUCUCCCCUUCGAGGCCCGGGAAGACCUCCAACCCCGCUGACAAUGCUGGGCCCUCAGCCAGACCUGCCCUGCGUGCCACGUUCUGUUCUAAGAUCGGGCUGCCGAGCUGUGGCCUGGAGGAAACCUGGCAGGUGUCACCAGAGCUUUGGGGAGGGUGAGGCCCUGUCGGGGAAGCCCAGUGGGAGUCAUGAAGGAGGGAACACGUGUGGAGCCCUUGUAGGGGGAGGGGCAGCCCUGCAGAGAUCUAAGAAAAAAUUCCAGAAAAAUGAGCAGCAACCUCCAAGGCCAGGCAUCGGUGCAGGGGACAAGGGGUCGUAGCUGGAGGGGCCUAGGUGAGGCUGCCGGGAAGGGACGAUGUGGUUGGUGGAGUGCACAGGCAGGGACCUCACUGGACUUUCCUGUCUGCUCAGCAUGGACAGGCAGCCCAGGAGAAGGCAGCACGUGGCCGGGUGCAGGGACGUACCACCCCCACUUCCCCAGGGGAGCUGGGGUCAGACGAGUCCCAGGCACUCCAUCCUCUGCAGCAAGUCAGGUUGUGAUUUACUAGGGGGUGGUGAAUAUAAUGGAGAGACUUCUGGGGAGGAAUUCCUGGCUCCCGCGUGGACUUGCAGAGCUCAACAGGCAGCCACGUGGCUGAGUGUCCAGCAAACAUCACAUAAGGCUUUGGGUCCUGCAGGUGGGGCUGCCAUGAGCAGCAAGCUCAGUCCAGAAGAACAGUUCCUCUCCAGGAUCCACUUCCUGCGCACUUUUAUGUGCAGUGUAGCUGGAGCAGAGCUCCCCGGAAUUCCACAGGCAACUGAGAACGGAGAGGGAUGCAGGCCAGCCAGGGAUCCAGCGUCUUCCCCAUCGUCACUCUCCAUGGCCUCCGUCUACACACAGUGUUCGUCUGCACAGCUUGUCAGCGCGUUAUCAUGACUUCUAUUUGGCACCGGCCCGUCUGUCCACUGUCCUGGCUUGUUCCAAGCGCUGCCUUCUCCAACUGGGGUCCUGGCUGCAGAGCUGUCUGCUCCCCACGUUGGGCAACUCCAGCCAAGAUUCCUACACCCAAAUGUGACCGUGUUGCUCACGAAGAAGGCUCAGCUUUGCGUGUGCCCAGCCGUGUGCACAGCUCGUCCCAACUCCUGCGGGUGGCACCUGCCUCUCCCACCUCCAGUCUUUCCCCUGUGAUGAGCAGAUGACCACCGCCCUCCAGGGUCAGCGUUUGGCUGUUUGUGUGCCUGCCCACCCGCCUCCCUGUGCCUGGGCCUGCCCUGUGCCUGCACACAGGAGUGGCUCAUGGCGUUUGCCCUACACGGAUGGGCUGUCCUGGGAGCUACUGGACAGUCACCUUGGUGGGAAUGCCAGAGGCAUGGGCAUUAGGUCCCCCCGGCCAGCCUCCGUUGCCACAUGGGCUAUUUUUGUCCAUCGCGUGGGACAACCUAGUAUUGGGGGAAAACUCAGUCCACUCUAAAGAAGCAUCGGCGUUUUGGAUGGACGAAUGCUGCUUCAUGCGACUCCAUGUCAAUGGACUAUUUUAUUCAACUCGGGUAUUUAUGAGUGUCUCCUCUGUGCCAGCCACGUGUGAAAGAAGAACUCCAAGUUACUGGACACCAGGACAAACCAGGUAGAUCACUGCAUCCGGUUCCUCCUCUUUCUGCCGACUCUCCCGGGCAACCGUUCUGAUUCCUGGCAUGGAGUUGGGGGCGAGCUCAUCAGUACCCAGAGCGCCUGGUGUGCAGCCAAAGGCCCCCAUUUUAUUAGUCGGUGUGUUCAGUAUCACGCUCAAGACAAGGGCCAACCUAUUACUUCACACACCUCAAAUACAAAAAGUGCCUGGGAACGUCGAUGAGGUAUUAAAGGAAACCACUGGUCUUGUCAGUCAUGUACACACAGAAAAAAAAACCAGUCAUUUUUAUUUUUAUUUUUUGAGACAGAGUUUCGCUCUUGUUGCCCAGGCUGGAGUGCAAUGGUGCAAUUUCAGCUCACUGCAAUCUCUGCCACCCGGAUUCAAGCAAUUCUCCUGUCUCAGCCUCCCGAGUAGCUGGAAUUGCAGACACCCAUCACCACGCCCAGCUAAUUUUAUGUAUUUUUAGUAGAGAUGGGGUUUCACCAUGUUGGUCAGGCUGGUCUUGAACUCCUGACCUCAGGUGAUCCACCCACGUCAGGCUCCCAAAGUGCUGAGAUUACAGGCAUGAACCACUGUGCCCAGCCGAAAACAACCAAGAAUUUUUUAACAAUAAAAUGACCAGCAAGUAAACUUGAAACAAAAAUGGACAAAUAUCUAAAAUAUUUUUAAAUGUAUGUAUUUUAAUUGGCAAAUAAUACUUGUAUAUAUUGUUUACAACUUGUUUUAAAGUAUGAAUACAUUGUGGAAUGGCUAAAUCAAGUUAAUUAACAUGCAUUAACUCACAUACUUUUUGUUUUUUGGUGUGGUGAGGACACUUAACAUCUACUCUCUUAGCAAUUUUCCAGUCACCAUGUCCUACUAUAGAUCCCUAGAACAUAUUCCUCCAAUGUAACUGAAAUGUAUCCCUUGACCAACAUCACUGCCCGGCCCCAGCCCCAGGUAAACACCAUUCUACCCUCUGCUUCUGUGAGUUCAGCUUUUCUAGAUUUCACCUGUGAGUGAGAUUGUGCAGCAUUUGUCUUUCUGUGCCUGGGUUUUUUCACAUAAUGCCCUUCUGGUUCAUCUAUAUUGUCAUAUAUGGUAGCAUUGUCUUCCUUUGUAAGGCUGACUGGUAUACCAUUGCGUAUAUACACCACAUUGUUUACCUAAAAUAUUUUUUAAUACAAUCGCUGAAAACUGCCA
RNAcentral lists this long non-coding RNA (3394 nucleotides) under Homo sapiens (human). Its description in RNAcentral is "CTBP1 divergent transcript". The record is from RNAcentral. Lineage: Eukaryota; Metazoa; Chordata; Mammalia; Primates; Hominidae.